CAAUACAGAUUGUGGGCGCGUGGCGAACGGGUGCGUAACACGUGGAUAACCUUCCUUCAGGUGGGGAAUAACCCAGUGAAAAUUGGGCUAAUACCGCAUAACAUGACGAUGGCUCAUGCCGUUGUCUUCAAAGGCGCAAGUCGCCAGAAGAGGGAUCCGCGGCCGAUUAGCUAGUUGGCGAGGUAAUGGCUCACCAAGGCUUUGAUCGGUAGCCGGACUGAGAGGAUGAUCAGCCUCACUGGGACUGAGACACGGCCCAGACUCCUACGGGAGGCAGCAGUGGGGAAUAUUGGACAAUGGGCGCAAGCCUGAUCCAGCCAUGCCGCGUGAAUGAUGAAGGCCUUCGGGUUGUAAAGUUCUUUUGCAGGGGACGAUGAUGACGGUACCCUGAGAAUAAGCUCCGGCUAACUUCGUGCCAGCAGCCGCGGUAAUACGAAGGGAGCUA
Molecule: ribosomal RNA, 445 nt
Filed under: uncultured bacterium
Lineage: Bacteria
Description: bacterial SSU rRNA
Rfam family: Bacterial small subunit ribosomal RNA
Source: RNAcentral